GUUUGAUCCUGGCUCAGGAUGAACGCUAGCGGCAGGCUUAACACAUGCAAGUCGAGGGGUAUAGGAAGCUUGCUUCCUAGAGACCGGCGCACGGGUGCGUAACGCGUAUGCAAUCUACCUUUUGCAGAGGGAUAGCCCAGAGAAAUUUGGAUUAAUACCUCAUAGUAUGUGAGAAUGGCAUCAUUUUCACAUUAAAGUCACAACGGCAAAAGAUGAGCAUGCGUCCCAUUAGCUUGUUGGUAAGGUAACGGCUUACCAAGGCAACGAUGGGUAGGGGUCCUGAGAGGGAGAUCCCCCACACUGGUACUGAGACACGGACCAGACUCCUACGGGAGGCAGCAGUGAGGAACAUUGGACAAUGGGCGCAAGCCUGAUCCAGCCAUGCCGCGUGCAGGAUGACGGUCCUAUGGAUUGUAAACUGCUUUUGUACGGGAAGAAACACUGGUUCGUGAACCAGCUUGACGGUACUGUAAGAAUAAGGAUCGGCUAACUCCGUGCCAGCAGCCGCGGUAAUACGGAGGAUCCAAGCGUUAUCCGGAAUCAUUGGGUUUAAAGGGUCCGUAGGCGGUUUAGUAAGUCAGUGGUGAAAGCCCAUCGCUCAACGGUGGAACGGCCAUUGAUACUGCUAGACUUGAAUUAUUAGGAAGUAACUAGAAUAUGUAGUGUAGCGGUGAAAUGCUUAGAGAUUACAUGGAAUACCAAUUGCGAAGGCAGGUUACUACUAAUGGAUUGACGCUGAUGGACGAAAGCGUGGGUAGCGAACAGGAUUAGAUACCCUGGUAGUCCACGCCGUAAACGAUGGAUACUAGCUGUUGGGCGCAAGUUCAGUGGCUAAGCGAAAGUGAUAAGUAUCCCACCUGGGGAGUACGUUCGCAAGAAUGAAACUCAAAGGAAUUGACGG
RNAcentral lists this ribosomal RNA (901 nucleotides) under uncultured bacterium. RNAcentral's name for it is "bacterial SSU rRNA". It matches the Rfam family "Bacterial small subunit ribosomal RNA", at positions 11 to 916 of the family's 1533-position model. The record is from RNAcentral.